UAGUCCAUAACUACAAGAGUCCAGAACAAGA
RNAcentral lists this non-coding RNA (31 nucleotides) under Mus musculus (house mouse). The record is from RNAcentral. Lineage: Eukaryota; Metazoa; Chordata; Mammalia; Rodentia; Muridae.